RNAcentral lists this ribosomal RNA (420 nucleotides) under uncultured Nitrososphaerota archaeon. Its description in RNAcentral is "bacterial SSU rRNA". It matches the Rfam family "Archaeal small subunit ribosomal RNA", at positions 459 to 879 of the family's 1478-position model. The record is from RNAcentral. Lineage: Archaea; Thermoproteati; Nitrososphaerota.
CAGCCGCCGCGGUAAAACCAGCACCUCAAGUGGUCAGGAUGAUUAUUGGGCCUAAAGCAUCCGUAGCUCGUUUUGUAAGUUUUCGGUUAAAUCCAUACGCUUAACGUAUGGGCUGCCGGGAAUACUGCAUAACUAGGAAGUGGGAGAGGUAGACGGUACUCGGUAGGAAGGGGUAAAAUCCUUUGAUCUAUUGAUGACCACCUGUGGCGAAGGCGGUGUACCAGAACACGUUCGACGGUGAGGGAUGAAAGCUGGGGGAGCAAACCGGAUUAGAUACCCGGGUAGUCCCAGCUGUAAACGAUGCAGACUCGGUGAUGCAUUGGCUUGUGGCCAAUGCAGUGCUGCAGGGAAGCCGUUAAGUUUGCCGCCUGGGAAGUACGUACGCAAGUAUGAAACUUAAAGGAAUUGGCGGGGGAGCAC